UCAAGAGUGGGAAUGAUGACCUGGUUAGACUAGAGUCUCUGAGUUUCUUUGAGGAUAUUUGAAACCACCUGACCCAUUCUUG
Molecule: small nucleolar RNA, 82 nt
Organism: Cavia porcellus (domestic guinea pig)
Lineage: Eukaryota; Metazoa; Chordata; Mammalia; Rodentia; Caviidae
Rfam family: Small nucleolar RNA ZL8
About the family: Host gene C6orf48. No homologs outside of mammals.
Source: Rfam